Molecule: ribosomal RNA, 43 nt
Filed under: Cordyceps sp.
Lineage: Eukaryota; Fungi; Ascomycota; Sordariomycetes; Hypocreales; Cordycipitaceae
Description: partial 28S ribosomal RNA
Source: RNAcentral
GACCUCGAAUCAGGUAGGAGUACCCGCUGAACUUAAGCAUAUC